Molecule: long non-coding RNA, 609 nt
Organism: Rhinopithecus roxellana (golden snub-nosed monkey)
Lineage: Eukaryota; Metazoa; Chordata; Mammalia; Primates; Cercopithecidae
Exons: 3
Source: RefSeq, a predicted model, not a curated record
GCCCAGGCUGGUCUUGAACUCCUGAACUUAAGCAAUGCUCCCACCUUGGCCUCCUAAAGUGUUGGGAUUACAAGUGUGAGCCACCAUGCCUGACCCUGCCCUUGUAAUUUAUAUAGCCUUUUAUAAUUUCCAAAUUUCUUCUAGAUUCUUCAUAGCCACCCCCUGAAAUGGGCGAGGAUAGGAUUUUCAUCUACAUUUAGCAGAUGCCAAGAACUCAGAGAAGUGAAACAGCUUCUCCAGGGUUAGAGGGCUUAGUAAGUGUCAGUGCUGCGUGGAACCCAGGCCACUAGACUCCUGACCAGUCCCCUUCUGCACAUUCCUAUGGGUGUGGUACAAAGUCCCAAAGCUCCUUGCUGUCCCCAGGCCAAGCCUAAGCCCUCCAACUCUGGCCCUGGCUACGUAAUCCUCCCACAAAUUGUGUUCACAGAUAAGGGGACAGCCAAAGAAAUUACAGUUUCAGUGUGACCCAAACUGAAUUUUGUAUAUUUCUGCCCAGAUCUCCUCUGCUCUGCUGCCAUCAUCCUUGCUGGGUGCCAGGCACUGGGGACAUAAAGAUGAACAGGUUGGCCGGGCGCGGUGGCUUAAGCUUGUAAUCCCAGCACUUUGGGA